CUUACUUCCGGAUUGUGCGUUCCACAUACAGGAAGUGAGUUUUCAUCGACUGCUGCAGCCUUCCAGUGUCCGUUGAGAUCAGGGUUACACAGUAGUGAAGAAGAUCUCUGGUGAGUGUGAGACACCCAGCAGCCAUCCUCGUGUGUCAGGUGGACUAAGCAGGACCCACAGCCCCAUCACAGUGCCUCCACCUCACUCACUGAUACAUGAGAGAGACAGUGACCAGAAGAUCCUGGAACUCAACAACAAGAUCAUUCAGCUGCUGACAGGAGAGGAGGGGGAGUAUAUAGAGGAACACAGGGGUCUGUACAAGGACGUGAUGAUGGAGAAUCACCGGCCCCUCACAU
This is a long non-coding RNA of Pseudophryne corroboree (corroboree frog), 347 nucleotides long. RefSeq lists it as uncharacterized. Lineage: Eukaryota; Metazoa; Chordata; Amphibia; Anura; Myobatrachidae. The record is from RefSeq and is a predicted model, not a curated record. The transcript is spliced from 3 exons.